RNAcentral lists this microRNA precursor (70 nucleotides) under Gasterosteus aculeatus (three-spined stickleback). RNAcentral's name for it is "miR-430 microRNA precursor family". It matches the Rfam family "miR-430 microRNA precursor family". The record is from Rfam by way of RNAcentral. Lineage: Eukaryota; Metazoa; Chordata; Actinopteri; Perciformes; Gasterosteidae.
AUGGUUACCCUUACAAAAACACUGACUUUGGUUCUCAAUACAGUAAGUGCUUUUUGUUGGUGUAGUUUUG